UCUCUCUCUCUCUCUCUCUCUUUGUCCGCUGUGACCAUGUGGGACCGACCAUUUCUCGACCUUUCGUGAAACGUGAGAUGCUGGGUAUUGGAGUUGGAACCAUGGGGUGAAGUGAAUGUCUGCUGCGUCGCCUGAAGGCAGGGUAGAGCUGCAGGCUGAUGGCAGCUCGAGGACCACUGAAGCCCUCCAGCAGACCAACAUUUGGGUGAUCUGGAUUAACAGACCAUUGGAGCUCUGCUAGACGAUCAAACCUAUUGUUCAAGUGAUCAUGUAAACAGCAGUAAUCUGAUUUUGAGAAACCAGAUUAACACACCUGGAUUUCUCCCAAUACUCCGAUGUCUUAAUGCAAGGAUACUUGUUAAUCUGAUUUAUGUAGUUCUGCUGUUAGAGUGGCCCAUGUUACAAAAACACUAAAUUAAACUGUAGAAAACUUCACUCUACUGUAGCUAUGUCUGUAGUCCAAAAGAAAUCUGAUAAUGGACUGGAGUGUCUAAACCAGGGUUUUUUUAAUUAUUGAAUUUCUUAAGUGGAUGUUAAACACAUCAGAUCUGAUUUUUAACGAUUAUCCCAUUACUCCAAGUUAUCGGAUUCUUCUGAUCAUGUAAAUGGGUUCAAUGUCUGCCUGACUUGUUUGCUCUAGAGACUGGCUGUGGUCCUGGAUAACUGGACCUCUAUCCGGAGACGCGUUGGUCUCGUCGACUCCAUUCCAGUGGAAAAGGUGCUGCCAUAACAUUAAUUAACUGCAUGCACUAGAAACUAUUUAGGAGGUCACAGGUGUUUGGAGAGCCUGCCAGGUUGUCAACAAGCUUAGUUAUUUCAGGAUUAAAAGUGCAUAUGGUACAGAUUCUAAAUGUUUGGAUUCUGUGUAAACGGAAUGCACUGAUUGGUAAAUCUCAAGAAAACAUACAAAAUUUUUAAACUGAGUUAAUGUGUUCCUUUUUUAAAUUGGAUUGUAGCAGCAUGUUUCCAAAAUGUUUGGAUAGGGACAACAGAAGACUUUAAGUGAGACUACAUAUUUCUGUGUAGCUAGACGAACAUUUUGGAUUUAGAGUAAUUUAGAUGAUGGAUCAUUUGGGGACUCUUCCCUCACGGAGAAUCUCAAACUGCAUUUCUGUUUUUUGAUGUUUGAUGUCUUCAGGUUGUCCUCAAAACUGCAUAAAUGUUUGAAUAAACUCAACAAAUUUAAA
Molecule: long non-coding RNA, 1187 nt
Organism: Sphaeramia orbicularis (orbiculate cardinalfish)
Lineage: Eukaryota; Metazoa; Chordata; Actinopteri; Kurtiformes; Apogonidae
Exons: 6
Source: RefSeq, a predicted model, not a curated record